AAACGCUUGAAGUCAGUCGCGUUAUCUGGGGAUCAGCCUUCCUUUUGGUUGGUGUACUUCCCAGUUGACGGGUCAGCAUCAGUUUUGACCAGUGGAUAAAAGCUAGAGGAAUGUGGCAUCUUCGGGUGUGUUAUAGCCUCUGGUUGUAUACAUUGGUUGGGA
RNAcentral lists this ribosomal RNA (162 nucleotides) under Collybiopsis melanopus. RNAcentral's name for it is "Gymnopus melanopus partial large subunit ribosomal RNA". The record is from RNAcentral. Lineage: Eukaryota; Fungi; Basidiomycota; Agaricomycetes; Agaricales; Omphalotaceae.